GCAGCUGUUGUUAUGAGAAAAUGCUUCUACCUUCUUGGAAUCACUCCAGUCUUCAAGAUAUAAAAUAUUUGGAAUUGGAUUUCUUUAUUUAUUUUCACUAUAAGAUUUUCAAGCGAUUACAACCGUUAAACCUUAUUACAUUUAUGCCAACAAACAAGUAAAUAAUUCAGAUGUUUUUUUUGUUGAUGUUUGAUUUGAUAUUGGUCACACGUGAGAAAACACACCUUUGAUCCAUCUGAAGAUCUUUUUAAAAUUGGACUUGAUCUUCCCCUCCACAGUAUACAUAUUGUAAAUUGCUAUUCUUCCUCUCCUCUUCAUAUCUGGAUGAUUCAUACACCACUGGUUUCCACUGGUCGAUAGUGAUGACUCAGAGGUUGGCUUUGAUGAUUCUUUGUAAUCUUUUUCAAGAUAUCUGUGGGAAUUGCUACUGAAUGAUGAUGAUCCCAUUUACUGAUUUAUUCUUCCUCUUCUUUAGUCCUGUAUUUUUUUUUGAAAGCAUAGUCCUGUAUGACUUAUGAAGUGGACAUGUUGUCAUCCCAGAUAGAUCAUUCUGUUGAUGCUUUAUGGUGAAUCUUUGUGUGUGUGUGUGUUUGUUUAAAUGUAUUAAAAAAAUAUUAUUUAAUGAAACCGUCAAAUUUUAAAUGGAAAAGAUUGAGAACAUAAGCAUUCCCAAUCACAUUGACAAAGUUUGUAUGAAAUUCGCAGUAUUGCGCAAUUGAUUCGAAGAAUAAUAUAAUUGUGAAAUUACUAUAAUUAUAUAACUGUCAAAAACUAAUUUAACUAACUAACUAAUUAUUUAAAGUCAAUCAUUUGACUAUUAUAAAAAUAUUUUUGACUAAUGCGAAUGUAUAUUGUCUACUUGCUAAUUAAACUAACUAAUUAAUUGAAUUUUGAUUAUAACUACUUACUCGGGACGGGGGACGGGGCAAGGUCGCACGUCCGUGACCCGCCCAGUUACUUAGUUAGUGAUAGACGACGUAAUCUUUUAAGAACAACCUCUAAUAGAAUUGAAGCAAACACAUCAACGAUUACCAAUUCAAAUCAUACCUUGACGAUAGACAACAGAAACAGAGAAGGAAGACGAUCGAGAAUGCAAUCGGCGAUGAUGAAUUAAGAUCAAUUCCUUGGUGCUGAACCUUGGAUUCUUCUUCUUCGAGAUUUUUUUGGGGAGAAACGGUCGGUCGGAGGAGCUUUUAAAUGGGACGAAUACAUUAAUUAUCCGAAGAUUUGUUUUGUAACAAACUCCAACUCAUAUUAUGGAGUUUGUUACAGUGAGUGUAUAUAUACACCGGCAAUCACUUACUCUUCCUCCUUGUUUUCUUCAAUCUCCACCGAUGGCCAUCGCUGUUACUUCUUCUACCGAUGUGAGUAACGUUUAAAUUUUCUUGCAUGUUUAUAGUUUCAGCGUAUGAUCGACGUUUAAUUUUACAAAUCUUG
This 1437-nucleotide long non-coding RNA is filed under the name Zostera marina. RNAcentral describes it as "long non-coding RNA (ZMAR_LNC002201)". Lineage: Eukaryota; Viridiplantae; Streptophyta; Magnoliopsida; Alismatales; Zosteraceae. The record is from RNAcentral.